UCAAACUUGCUGAAGACGCCCAGUUACGAAGCAAGGCCUCUCCAACUCCAAACAGCAUGGAGCGAAAAGUGAGCAAGGCAAAAACGAUGAGUAAAAGUGAGCCUGAACUGAAAACUUAUUCUGCGACCGGGAGUAAAGGAAACCCACAUGUGCAGCCAGCGGCAUCUUCUUCUGAAGCUAAAGCUAAAGCAUCAAGUACUGCCGCACUGCCGACGCCUGCACCAAGCAGGAAACAUGCAAAGCCAGCCAACCCAGGCAGCAUUGCUACAAAGCCAUGAAUUCCGGAUUCACAUAUACAAUUUAAACCUCUUGUGUGAAUUGAUGAAGAAGAAGAAUGAUCUGGACAUCAUUUCGUGUGCUUUGUCUAUGAUAUAAUACAUAUACCGAAGACCCUAAUAGUAUGUAAGAGGUUAAUAAAGAGGUGGAAAAGAAAUAUGGAUCGAUAUAUUGCAUGUUUGUAGUUUGUACGUCCUUGAUGAAUUUCGUCGCUGUCCUAAGUUCAUGUAUUGGUAUUGUAUUGAAUUCACAUGUAUUAAUAAAUUUGGAAUGCAUUGAGUUUUAACUUCUUUU
This is a long non-coding RNA of Hordeum vulgare subsp. vulgare (domesticated barley), 570 nucleotides long. RefSeq lists it as uncharacterized. The transcript is spliced from 5 exons. Lineage: Eukaryota; Viridiplantae; Streptophyta; Magnoliopsida; Poales; Poaceae. The record is from RefSeq and is a predicted model, not a curated record.